This 468-nucleotide ribosomal RNA is filed under the name uncultured bacterium. RNAcentral describes it as "partial 16S ribosomal RNA". It matches the Rfam family "Bacterial small subunit ribosomal RNA", at positions 28 to 507 of the family's 1533-position model. The record is from RNAcentral.
GACGAACGCUGGCGGCGUGCUUAACACAUGCAAGUCGAACGGAAAGGCCCUGCUUUUGUGGGGUGCUCGAGUGGCGAACGGGUGAGUAACACGUGAGUAACCUGCCCUUGACUUUGGGAUAACUUCAGGAAACUGUGGCUAAUACCGGAUAGGAGCUCCUGCUGCAUGGUGGGGGUUGGAAAGUUUCGGCGGUUGGGGAUGGACUCGCGGCUUAUCAGCUUGUUGGUGGGGUAGUGGCUUACCAAGGCUUUGACGGGUAGCCGGCCUGAGAGGGUGACCGGCGACAUUGGGACUGAGAUACGGCCCAGAAUCCUACGGGAGGCAGCAGUGGGGAAUAUUGCACAAUGGGCGGAAGCCUGAUGCAGCAACGCCGCGUGCGGGAUGACGGGCUUCGGGUUGUAAACCGCUUUCGCCUGUGACGAAGCGUGAGUGACGGUAAUGGGUAAAGAAGCACCGGCUAACUACGUG